UAGGGAAUCUUCCACAAUGGACGAAAGUCUGAUGGAGCAACGCCGCGUGAGUGAAGAAGGUUCUCGGAUCGUAAAACUCUGUUGUGAGGGAAGAACAAGUACCGGAGUAACUGCCGGUACCUUGACGGUACCUCAUUAGAAAGCCACGGCUAACUACGUGCCAGCAGCCGCGGUAAUACNUAGGUGGCAAGCGUUGUCCGGAAUCAUUGGGCGUAAAGCGCGCGCAGGCGGUCCCUUAAGUCUGAUGUGAAAGCCCACGGCUCAACCGUGGAGGGUCAUUGGAAACUGGGGGACUUGAGUGCAGAAGAGGAAAGCGGAAUUCCAAGUGUAGCGGUGAAAUGCGUAGAGAUUUGGAGGAACACCAGUGGCGAAGGCGGCUUUCUGGUCUGUAACUGACGCUGAGGCGCGAAAGCGUGGGGAGCAAACAGGAUUAGAUACCCCUGGGAUAGUCCACGGCCGUAAACGAUGAGUGCUAAGUGUUAGGGGG
This 487-nucleotide ribosomal RNA is filed under the name uncultured bacterium. RNAcentral's name for it is "partial 16S ribosomal RNA". It matches the Rfam family "Bacterial small subunit ribosomal RNA", at positions 355 to 830 of the family's 1533-position model. The record is from RNAcentral.